GGAUUAUAGUUUAAAUAAAACAGUUAUUUUGCAAAUAAAAAUUAUGUAUUUAAUCUGAA
This 59-nucleotide transfer RNA is filed under the name Pariaconus pele. RNAcentral's name for it is "tRNA-Ala". Lineage: Eukaryota; Metazoa; Arthropoda; Insecta; Hemiptera; Triozidae. The record is from RNAcentral.